This is a long non-coding RNA of Ipomoea nil (Japanese morning glory), 1435 nucleotides long. RefSeq lists it as uncharacterized. NCBI's taxonomy places the organism in Eukaryota, Viridiplantae, Streptophyta, Magnoliopsida, Solanales, Convolvulaceae. The transcript is spliced from 8 exons. The record is from RefSeq and is a predicted model, not a curated record.
CCUUCUCUUCGCCGUCUGAGACAACAAUUGUAGCAAAGUUCGCCGGAAAUUUCUUCGCACUCAGCUCAAUCGUCGGAUUCGUCGCCUGUUUUCGUAAAGCAGGUCACAGUCGUCGCUGUUGUCACCGCUGCGGCCUCCGUCGUCGUUAUCGUCAAAGGUCGCGGUUGUGCCCUCAGCUCCGAUCUGUCGACAUUGUUCGCAGGUCCAAGGAAAAUCUUAAGAAAGUAUCUGGAUCAACCAAAAAAAUCUGUUCAAAGGACACACAAAUCUGUAAAAUCAGAAGAGGAGAUGAAGAAAUCUGAGGCCACUGUUCAAUCUGUCUCGAGCAGUUCUCAGCGGGUAACAGAAAUUCAGGGAAGUAAGAGAAUUCUUCCUGCAAAGCCUUCCAUAAACAUUGAAGCUAGUCCUAUGGAACUUGACACAAAAGAGUCAGAUGCUAAUCCAAAAUCCAAAUUCUUCUUUGGCUACUGCAGAGAAAGGAGUUUUGUGGCCUCAACCGUCCUGUAAUUUCCACAGAGAAAUUGAAAAAGUGAUAGACAAGAGCUGAAGGAGUCUGUGCAAGAGCUUGCUGCCCGAGCAGCUAGUUAUGCCAAAGUUGUAGCUGCAAAAUAUAUUGCACCAACAAAUUCAGCAUAUCAAUUCGAGGUUUCUUGGCAUGGACUUUCUUGUGACUGUAAUCUACAAGUUAAAUACUGAAGGUAACUUACCCACAGCAUUACCUCAGAUAUUUAAGAAUACAUUGUCUGCACCUAUGCCUAUGCUUAUGGACAUUGCUCGGUGUAUUGCCACAUUUUUCAUGAAAGAUGAAGAUUUGGCUGUUAGGUACUUGGAAAUCUGCCUAAGGUCCCAAGAUUCAGCAUGAUCAUCAUGUGUCUAUCAUCUUCUGAUAAAGCUGGAAAUGUAGGUAUUCGGAAGCUGGAAUUGAGCUUUUGGGGUUUUUAAAUUAAUUUAAUUUGUCUUAAGAAAGCUUUCCCUGAUCAGAUUCAUCUGUCUGAGUUAUACAGGCUAUAGGUUGUAAAACAGGAUGUUAUAUGAACCAUUCAGAGGAAAGCAAUUCAGGUUGUUAUACCACCCGUGCCAUGCUUCUCGAAGAUUCAAAAUACUACAAGAAAAAUUCUUGACUACCAAUUCUCAUCGAGGGUGAAAAUGAUAUAAUUCAUGACUUAUCAAUUCUCAUCAAGGGUGAAAAAUGAUAUUCAUCGUCUAGUAAUGAUGUAAAUGGGCAAUUUCAUUUUGCAUGAAAUCGUCAUAUUGAAUAAACUAUUAUGUUGCUUUAUAUUUUUCAUGUAAAAAUACUUUUUAGUUAUGUAUGCACAUUUCAAUUAAUAUGUAGACAAUUGUACUUGAAUAUUGUUUGAUAUUAUUUGACAAAUAUUUGUUACAAUUGAUUUUCUUUUCAAUUGAAUGUGUAUAUAGAGUUUGUUUGUGGUUGCAA